UUCGGGAGUCACAUAACUAUCGAGUUAGAGACAAUUAAGGUCACUUAAUGUCACACCCGGAUUUAAGGUACAAAGCCGGGUGCAUCUCAUACAUGCGUCAAAGAAAACAACAUAUAUAAUAACAUAGUGUAUAGAGAUAAAUGUCAUAAUAUAAUCAGAGUACUUAUUACAUAGCGGAAGUUUUACAAAAAUAAAAGAUAAAUAUAACACGAACUAAGGAUCAUCCUUGGCGCAAGUCAACUGGGAGACGCCACCUAGAUCGAAUCGAACUCCUCGUUGUGUGGCUCCUCUCGAACCACCUGUUCUUAACAUGUGGGGGUGUGAGACAGCAAGGGUGAGCUCACACAAGUUCAUCGCUCAACAAGUUGUGGGGAAUAAUGUGGUAUGAACUCGCCAAAGGUGGGAGUUCAUGUGAAGUGUAAGGUUGAUCAACAAAAUAAAGGUUGAAGCUGAGCAUUGCUUUUAUACGUUGGUCAAAGUUUUAUUAGCAGUUACUAAGUGUAAGUAAAUACCAAACCAUAAUAAAUAAUAGAACAAAAUUAAUAAAUAAUCUCAUGCAAUGCAUAUGACAAAUUAAAUUUAAGUUCCAUAAAUUAAUCAUGCGAGAGUCCUGAGCUGCUCAUGACCGUGAGCUCAGCUAGUAUACCAGUUUUACACUCUGCAGAUGUUGUACCUUGUACCCACAAGUCGUGUAUCCCAUGUCGUCAGGGUUAGUUAGACCCUUAGACACUACCGAGGUGAAUGGCUAGGGAUCCACUACGAGGCCUUUACAAAGUUCCACUAGCUUCCGAAAACCCGGUACAGUUUAUGGGAAGAGCACUUGCAAGAAUCUCUCGUCUGUCUGCCAUCGUAGCAAAAUCAACUGAGAACCUCCUUGCAUGCAACUCCCCUAUUGCCCUAGUCUUCCACGAGCUUUCCUAAUUAGUUAGCCAAGGGUGUCCCAUUCCACCCUUAUGAUGGCACGUGUUUCUCAAGUUAAGCUCCAUGUUCCAAUUAAAGAUAAUGAUCUUUAUAUGAACAUAAAUAAAAUAACAUAAUAAUUGGAACAUGGAUAUAAUGAAAUAUUAACCCAAAACCAUAAAAGGCAAUAGCAAAACUACCCAAGUGAUUUAGGGGUAAACAAGGUAAAAGAUAAUCAGACUAGGGUAACCUAUUGGGUCCCAUCAAAGUUAAACUUAUGCAUGAACAAGUGAUAUUAAAGAACAUUAUUGGGUAAACAAAAGUGAUCAAAGGCACAAGUUGCCUGGCACUUGAGAUUCCAGUUACCAGGGUGAUUCUUCAUAUCCUCGUAACCUCACUGCUAGUCGUAGCAAUACAAACAAACAUGGUAUAGAUAAAAUUAAUAUCACACCAAAUAUAAGAAUAAACUGAAUCAUAAUGAUCUACGCGAAGCUACGAGAUCGAGAUCCACUAAGAUUGGAGUUAUGAUUUUAUAGAGGAUUUAUGUGAUUAAAAUGUUAAACUAUAUUAUAAAUUGGUUAAUAUAAAUUAUAUAAGAGGUUAUUCUAUAAAUAAUUAUCUCAACUUUAAUCUAAGUUAUAAAUUUACCAUAAAUCAUAUAUUGGUGGAUAAUGGUGAGCACAUUAACAAGACUAACCAACAUAAGUUAAUUAAAGAUCUAAUCAUAAAAUAAUGAGACAUGGUAUAAUAAAUGUUGUUAAUGCAUAGAAGAUAAUUGUACGAGACUAACGCAACUUGAAUGGAUCAAAUCGGAAUUAGAACAAAGGAGUUACGAAUCUCUAAAGGCUUUAUCUAUUUGUUACAAGAUUAAUUGAGUGAUCAAUUCUAAUAUGUGUUUUAUGUUAAAACAGAGACACCAGUCGAUAAACAAUAUUAUUACAAAAUUAUAGGAACCGGAAUGAGUCAAAAAGGAGUUAAAAUGAAUUUUAUAUGCAUUUUACAAGUUUCUAGAAUUAUUCUUGAGUUAAAAAUCAAUUUCUAUAAUCGAUUUCCUAAAUUCUCAAUUCCCUGGACCGAGUGCAUAAAAGCAGAUAAAUACAGGGGGUUCAUAUGCCAGAAACGGAGGGGCUCUUUAGAAAAAUAGACACCGCGAAGGGGUAUCCUCCAUCCAGGGCCGCCCGAUCUGAUCUAGAUGGCCCAGAUUGAACCUAACUUAAAGUGAACCAAUCUGCACUUGUGGCCCUCGGAUCACAUAUCAGCGGACAAGGGAUGGCCAUGGACGAAACUAACCUGAACCCUAGGAUUAACAACUAGCGGUCCCGAUUCAAAGCAUCCAAAGGGGUAUGGAUGUUUUAAUCUUAGCCGCCCCCAACACUGGCCAAACGCGGUGGUGGCAGACACUGGCUGGCGCGCGGCGGAAUGUAGUUUAGUGCCCCAAAUUCGAUUAUAACCAGUGCUACACGUUGAGAAGGAAAAGGCAAACUACAUGGAUGUGCUUUCACCUCAGUGGAUGACGCAGACGCACAUGAGCACGACGAGGAGCGGAUCAAUGGCGGCGGCGACCGACGUCGAGAAAUUCUCGGUCUCCCGGGUGCCCUCCACUGCCAGCGAUAGCCCGCCCCGCACGGUGCUGACACAAGGCACAAUCCCCCAACUCUCUGAAGAUGAACAGAAGGUGCGCUGUUUGAUUGGUGUUGACCCGGCAGCUCCGCGAUGAUGGCGAGAGGUCACACGACGUCGAGGAUUUAUACCUCAGAACUGGUCUCCGAUUUGUUGAUGUUGCGAGGUCUCGUGAGGGUUGUUGGCCAGCUAGUAUUGCGGCGGCGGAAAACG
RNAcentral lists this long non-coding RNA (2733 nucleotides) under Zea mays. Its description in RNAcentral is "long non-coding RNA (ZMAY_LNC002253)". The record is from RNAcentral. Lineage: Eukaryota; Viridiplantae; Streptophyta; Magnoliopsida; Poales; Poaceae.